GCUGUCAUCAGUCAGUCUGUACCUCAGCCUUCAGUGGAUCUACAGAAGAAGAGAGAAGCAAGGGAGGAGAGAGAAGAAGAAGCUAAGAGAAGAAAGUGGCGAGAAAAGGAAGAGCCACAGUGGAGGAAGCCACAGUGCAGGGCACACGCUAAGAGAGAAAGGCAAGAGAGAAGAGGAAAGUGAAAAGACGAGGGAGUUGCUCAAGUGUUGGGAGGCCAUCCAGCUGAGGGCAGGGAGAGACAGAAACGGACUGGGAGCGUAUACUGGGAGAGCAGACUGGUUUGUUUGUGUCCAGGCUGAGCGGACUGGGAGUCACCAUGGCCGACAACACCACAGAGGAGUCCGACUAUUACCCCGGGAAAGACGAGCUGGACUGGGGAUAUGAGGAAGGUGUAGAAUGGGGACUCCAUUUCCCAGCAGCCAACGGUGAGUACCAGUCUCCCAUCAACCUCAACUCCAGGGAGGCUCGGUACGACCCCUCCCUCCUGGACGUCGGCCUCACGCCAAACUACGUGGUGUGUCGAGACUGUGAGGUCAUCAACGAUGGACACACCGUCCGCAUCAUGCUCAAGUCCAAGUCAGUUGUUACUGGGGGUCCGUUGCCCAGCGACCAUGAGUAUGAGCUCCAUGAGGUGAGAUUCCACUGGGGUAAGGAGAACCAGAGGGGCUCCGAGCACACCGUCAACUUCAAGGCUUUCCCGAUGGAGCUCCACCUGAUCCACUGGAACAGCACUCUGUUCAACAGUCUCGAGGACGCUCUGGGCAAGAGGAAUGGAGUCCUCAUCAUUGCUCUCUUUGUACAGAUCGGCAAGGAGCAUCUGGGUCUGAAGGCCAUCACUGAGGUCCUACAGGAUCUGCAGUACAAGGGAAAGACCAAGAUAAUCCCCUGCUUCAACCCCAACACUCUGUUACCUGACCCCUUGCUGAGAGACUACUGGGUGUAUGAAGGAUCUUUGACCACACCACCUUGUAACGAGAAUGUGACCUGGAUCCUCUACCGCUACCCUCUCACCAUUUCACAGUUACAGAUUGAGGAGUUUCGGAGGCUGCGGUCCCAUACCAAAGGGGCAGAGCUGCCGGAAGGGAAUGAUGGGAUGUUGGGAGACAACUUCCGCCCCACUCAGCCACUCAGUGACCGGACGGUUCGUGCUGCUUUCCAGUGACUCCCACUUUCCACCACUAACCCACAAAAACGAUGGGCCAUAUAAAUACUUAUGUAAAAGGAGAAAAAUAAGAAGCAGCAAAGGAAGAGAGAGAGGGAGGAGGAGCAGAGAGAGAGAGAAUCAAAGUGUGUUGGCGUGAGUCCACAUCACCUGGACGGAGUCUGCAGGUGGACAAAGAAACCAUUGACCUCACACCCUCGUUGUGUGUGUGUGUGUGUGUGUGUGUGUGUGUUGCUUGCUGUGUGUUCUCUCUCUCUUGCUGUGUAUGUAUGUGCUUCUCCCCCGUCUCUCUCUUCCUGUAUGUGUGUGUGUGUGUGUGUGUUUGUGUGUAGGUUUGUCUCUAGUGUUCCUGUGCUGUGUGUGUCCUGAUUAGAUGACAGGAGGCUAUACAAGACACCGACUGCCCACCUGACCCACACACACACACACAUACAUUUAUAUAUACAUACACAUACAGAGACUGAGAGUGAUACUGAAAUACACCUACACACACACACUCUCUCUGUACAACUCAAACAUUCACACAUACACACACACACACACAAUAGGCUGUUCAGCAUGUGGAACCGAGUUUUGAAUGUCCUGCAGCACAGUAGCUCAACACAGGGAUUAUAGAAAAAGAGAACUGUGAUCAUCCAUAUUAACACGAAUAGCUCUAAUUUAUUGAAUGAUUGUGUUAUGAAUCAGUUUCAUCUGAUAAUAAAGGGUUUUUGCUGAAGGAAUGUCAAGAUCAUAUAAUUCUCAAGCUUCAUGGCGUAACAUCCGUCUGACACCAUUUUACAAGAAUUCUGUUUUCAUUCAUGUUCUUUGGAAGUUUUCAACAGUAUGAUAAGAUGAUAUGAUAGGCUUUGAUAUCUAAAACUGCACUGGAGACGAUGAAAUGGGAAAUGAAGCUGUUUGAUUGGCUUAAUAACAUCCCAUAUGUAAAUAUGUUAGUUGGACUACCAAACACACCAAGAAGAAGACUUUCAGUUUACCGGGUAAUGAAGUCCUUCAAACUCUAUUUUUUUUUUUUUUUUUUUUUUUUCGAAGAGUUAACUCUCCCUGCUUGGAGUGUGAAGAUGCCAGGUGUAGUUUUAAAUUCGUCAGAGGAGCAAAUGUCAGAAGUGAAGAGAGCAUAAGAAUCCACCCUUGGCUGAUGAUACCAUGUUACAUUAUCACAGAAAGCAGUGGGAAGAGGGAAAGUGCUCCAUGAAUGUCACAUCAAACUGAAUGAAAUCUUGGCCAUUUUCUGCCCAUGAUGCUCAGUUAGGGUGAGCUCCAUACACUCAGUACACACAUCACUGUUUUCAUUAACCCUUUGAAACCUGAGCAAAUCCCAGUUGAUUUCUUUCGAAAACCUUGGGAG
This is an RNA transcript of Myripristis murdjan (pinecone soldierfish), 2511 nucleotides long. It is a transcript of the gene named carbonic anhydrase VIII, with no coding region annotated. NCBI's taxonomy places the organism in Eukaryota, Metazoa, Chordata, Actinopteri, Holocentriformes, Holocentridae. The transcript is spliced from 9 exons. The record is from RefSeq and is a predicted model, not a curated record.